This is a long non-coding RNA of Ostrea edulis (European flat oyster), 593 nucleotides long. RefSeq lists it as uncharacterized. The record is from RefSeq and is a predicted model, not a curated record. NCBI's taxonomy places the organism in Eukaryota, Metazoa, Mollusca, Bivalvia, Ostreida, Ostreidae. The transcript is spliced from 4 exons.
AUAUUCCUCAAGGAAGGAAUGGGAAUUUUUUAAUUACGCAAUGAGACCAUAUCCUAUUCGUUCACGGCCACAUAAACAAUAGGACAAUCCGGUACAACGAUGAUGCGUGCGAGUCACGCAUGCAAAUUGAUCAAAUGACUUGGACAUGGUACAUAUAUAAACUGAAAAAUGAAAUACAAAGAGUAUCUCAUAUUGUGAAGAAAGGAUGGCGUCGAUAUACAUUAUAUUUCUUGCAUGUAUUCUGUUAUCAAAAUUAGACGCGUAUCCAUCCCUGCCACUGUUACCCACUGAUCUGUCUGAGAGGGAGAAUUUCCGGUGCCCUGAUAUAGCGAACCCCCACUGCAGUAUGGACGGAACGAAAAGUUAUAGAAAUGCUUGUGAGGCUUGGAAGGCAUAUGAGAAGGCAGCCAAACCUUGCGACACGUAGUAAAGAAAACCAAUUGAUAUCUGAUGGAAAACCUGCAGAUUAACUCAAGAAAAUCCAGUAUCUGAUGUAUUUAUUUGUAUUUUUAAGUGUUUUUGUAUUUUGUUUUUAUUGUUUUACAUAGAUAUUUAUUUAUUUUGAUUUGUUAAUAACAAGCAAUAUAUUUUUA